RNAcentral lists this ribosomal RNA (710 nucleotides) under uncultured Bacteroidales bacterium. RNAcentral describes it as "bacterial SSU rRNA". It matches the Rfam family "Bacterial small subunit ribosomal RNA", at positions 28 to 727 of the family's 1533-position model. The record is from RNAcentral. Lineage: Bacteria; Pseudomonadati; Bacteroidota; Bacteroidia; Bacteroidales.
GAUGAACGCUAGCUACAGGCUUAACACAUGCAAGUCGAGGGGCAGCAUGGUCUUAGCUUGCUAAGGCCGAUGGCGACCGGCGCACGGGUGAGUAACACGUAUCCAACCUGCCGUCUACUCUUGGACAGCCUUCUGAAAGGAAGAUUAAUACAAGAUGGCAUCAUGAGUCCGCAUGUUCACAUGAUUAAAGGUAUUCCGGUAGACGAUGGGGAUGCGUUCCAUUAGAUAGUAGGCGGGGUAACGGCCCACCUAGUCUUCGAUGGAUAGGGGUUCUGAGAGGAAGGUCCCCCACAUUGGAACUGAGACACGGUCCAAACUCCUACGGGAGGCAGCAGUGAGGAAUAUUGGUCAAUGGGCGAGAGCCUGAACCAGCCAAGUAGCGUGAAGGAUGACUGCCCUAUGGGUUGUAAACUUCUUUUAUAAAGGAAUAAAGUCGGGUAUGGAUACCCGUUUGCAUGUACUUUAUGAAUAAGGAUCGGCUAACUCCGUGCCAGCAGCCGCGGUAAUACGGAGGAUCCGAGCGUUAUCCGGAUUUAUUGGGUUUAAAGGGAGCGUAGAUGGAUGUUUAAGUCAGUUGUGAAAGUUUGCGGCUCAACCGUAAAAUUGCAGUUGAUACUGGAUAUCUUGAGUGCAGUUGAGGCAGGCGGAAUUCGUGGUGUAGCGGUGAAAUGCUUAGAUUUCACGAAGAACUCCGAUUGCGAAGGCAGCCU